This 738-nucleotide ribosomal RNA is filed under the name Citrobacter sp. BAB-3785. RNAcentral's name for it is "bacterial SSU rRNA". It matches the Rfam family "Bacterial small subunit ribosomal RNA", at positions 766 to 1507 of the family's 1533-position model. The record is from RNAcentral. Lineage: Bacteria; Pseudomonadati; Pseudomonadota; Gammaproteobacteria; Enterobacterales; Enterobacteriaceae.
GAGCAAACAGGAUUAGAUACCCUGGUAGUCCACGCCGUAAACGAUGUCGACUUGGAGGUUGUGCCCUUGAGGCGUGGCUUCCGGAGCUAACGCGUUAAGUCGACCGCCUGGGGAGUACGGCCGCAAGGUUAAAACUCAAAUGAAUUGACGGGGGCCCGCACAAGCGGUGGAGCAUGUGGUUUAAUUCGAUGCAACGCGAAGAACCUUACCUGGUCUUGACAUCCACGGAAGUUUUCAGAGAUGAGAAUGUGCCUUCGGGAACCGUGAGACAGGUGCUGCAUGGCUGUCGUCAGCUCGUGUUGUGAAAUGUUGGGUUAAGUCCCGCAACGAGCGCAACCCUUAUCCUUUGUUGCCAGCGGUCCGGCCGGGAACUCAAAGGAGACUGCCAGUGAUAAACUGGAGGAAGGUGGGGAUGACGUCAAGUCAUCAUGGCCCUUACGACCAGGGCUACACACGUGCUACAAUGGCGCAUACAAAGAGAAGCGACCUCGCGAGAGCAAGCGGACCUCAUAAAGUGCGUCGUAGUCCGGAUUGGAGUCUGCAACUCGACUCCAUGAAGUCGGAAUCGCUAGUAAUCGUGGAUCAGAAUGCCACGGUGAAUACGUUCCCGGGCCUUGUACACACCGCCCGUCACACCAUGGGAGUGGGUUGCAAAAGAAGUAGGUAGCUUAACCUUCGGGAGGGCGCUUACCACUUUGUGAUUCAUGACUGGGUGAUCACAAAAGGGGAAACACACAA